AUGGUGAGGAUCGGGAAAGCCCCGGAGGAAAGGGAGAUGAACCCAAAUAGGAAAUCAGCUCUUGAAUUGUCUCUCCGUGCUUAUGCGGAUAAGAAGGAUGGCCCUGUUCUCUGUCCAAGUAUUGGAACAAGCUUUGACUCUAUUGACGAGGCUUAUGAGUUCUACAAUCUUUAUUCAUGGGAAUGUGGUUUUGGAGUUAGGCCCGCGAAAAGUAGACUGAGUGUCGACAGGAAGAGAUGCAUGCAAGAGAUCAUGUGUGCGUGUGUGGGCAAACCAGUCAGGGAGAACAGCCGCUCGUCCAGGUGUGUGGCUGCAACGCCAUGA
This 324-nucleotide ribosomal RNA is filed under the name Triticum aestivum (bread wheat). RNAcentral's name for it is "partial small subunit ribosomal RNA". The record is from RNAcentral. Lineage: Eukaryota; Viridiplantae; Streptophyta; Magnoliopsida; Poales; Poaceae.